Brassica rapa (field mustard) is the source of this 2332-nucleotide long non-coding RNA. RefSeq lists it as uncharacterized. The record is from RefSeq and is a predicted model, not a curated record. NCBI's taxonomy places the organism in Eukaryota, Viridiplantae, Streptophyta, Magnoliopsida, Brassicales, Brassicaceae.
AGAAUAAAAUCAGCAUUACUAAUUUGAAACAACGUCGAGUGUUGAAUUAUAGGAGUACAAUCUCAAUCGAAAUUUUUGAUAGAAAUAAUUGGAUACAAAAAUGUUGGUAUACAAUAUUUUUUUUUGGCAUAUAUUACAAGUAUAUUUUAAAGAAAAUCAGUAAAAAAAUUGUAACUAUCCAAUUUUAAACGAGAGGAAUUUGCUAAAAACAACCUAAAUAUUCAUUUUAAAUCAAAAAGUAGCACACAUAUUCAAUAAAAUGCAAAAUCAACCUAAAAGAUGGUAAAAUAUUAUUUAAUUCUUAUGACCAAAUAAAAAAUAAAAAAUUAUUUUAUGAUUCUGUAAUUCAUAAGUCUACACGUAACCAAAAAAAUCUAAAUAUCUGUAGACCUUCAGAGAAAUCUACUUGGUAGACUUAUUUUAUAGUCUACAUCAUAAUUUGAUCUACUAAAUCAAGGGGAAUUGCAUCAUACAUCCAUCAAACAAAUUAUAAUUCAUCCACUACUUAAAAAUCAUGGUUUUUCAAAAUACACUGUACACAUUAUAGAUUAUUGACAUAUUACCCUUUUCAACCUACCGGUGAAACCUACUAACAAAAAUAAUUAAAAAAUAUAUAAAAAAAUUUUAGCCACAUCUUCUAAUCCAUCACCACCACCGCCACGUCUCUACUCCACCAUCUCUUUCCAGUGUUUCUCUUUCUUCUUCAGAUUAUCAACAAAAUCAUACAUUUUCUUCUGUCACAUAAUUCUUCUCUUUCAAUACUUCACCAAAAGAACAAUCAAUUGUUCUAAAGAAAAGACAACGAUGAAGUUAUAGACGAUCCACUGGUGAAGAACAGACAACGAUGAAAACGUAGACGGUGAGCACACACAACAACUCUUUCAUUUUUUUCUCAAAUCAAUUGAUUCUCACAAUCAUGAUUUUGUUUACAUACUAUGUUUUCGUUUCUGUUUUUGUUUUACAGAUCCAGUGGUGAAGAACAACGACGGCGAUUCGGUAAAAGCAUCAUCGUGUCGGGAAAAAGAGAGGAGAUGAAGACGAUCUCUAUAUGGUGGUGAAGAAUAAUGAUGGUGAACAAAAUGAAUGUGUAUCAGCCUGCCUAAAAAGAAUAGAAUUGAAGAAGAUGAACUCGCCGUCUAUACUAUAUUUGGUGAAAUGAAUAGUAUAGUAUAUAUUCUUAAGUAUAGCUACCUAUGUACGGUUACCAUACUAUUUGAGACAUAUUUCUAUACUACUCCUUAAAAAUGUAAUAAUAUGUCAUGUUUUUAAAUUUGAUAGGUCUCUUCUUUGUCAUUUUGUGUGAUUGAUUGUAAUAUGAAAUUCAUUUUUCGAGUGUUGGACAAAUUUGAUUAUUUGAAAUAUUCGUUUACUAUACUACUUAGACUAUAUGGAGUAUAAGAUAUGCAACAUGCUAACCAAGUAAAUGUGCUUUCAAGUGUUUAAUAUUGGAAAACAAUUUAUAGAUUGUAUUUGGAUUUAUAGGUUCCUGCCUAGGGUUUAGAUUUACUAAGUAAAUGUUUGGAUAUAGUAAACCUUAUUAUAUACAUUCUAUUUGGGUUUAUACUUCCUUGAUUAGCGUUUAGAUUAAUCUAUUUAUUUAGGUUUAGGGUUUAUGGUAUAUUUGGAUUAGGGUUUAGUGACUAAAAUUUAGGGUUUAGUAUUUAGAAGGUAAGGGGGUAUGGUGGGGUGAGCAUUAACUUCUUUCAUGCACUCAUAGAGAUUUUAUAGUUUCACCAAUAUGUACUAUGUUAUUUAUUUUGUUUCAUUCUAUUUGAGUUUUGUGUUUAUAUUUGGAUUUAGGGUUUAUAUCUGAGUUAGGGUUUAGUAAUUAGAGUUUAGGGUUUAGGGUUUAGUAUUUUGAAAUUUAUGUUUGGGUUUUGUGUUUAUAUUUGGGUUUAGGGUUUAUACACUUUUUAUUUUUAAAAAAUUUAUGUUUCUAUCCACUCAUUCUACUGCAUAUAGUAUAUAAAUAUGUUGUAAAUAAAUUUGUGACAUGAGUUAUUUUAAGUGAUGUGUUCGUAAAUAAUAGUGAUUCAUUAUUGACCAGCAAUAUAAAUUUCUUAGAUGGAUUAAAUUGGUAUGUGGCUGCAUGUGUUUCAAUCAAAUAAAAUACUCUUAAUUUAAUCUUCACCCUAUGUUAUUUUAACUAAGUCAUAUCUAACAAUACAAUAUUACCGGAUGAUUACAGGAAUAAAGAGCAGAACCGGAUAAUAAUUGACAUAAAUGAUAGCUAUUACAUUACGUCAAAAUCAAUGCCACUCACUUAAUUUUGAUGCCAAAGUUGGUUAUUCAGCAAAUUCACCCAUAAAUUAAUUUUAAAAAUGUAAGAAAA